RNAcentral lists this ribosomal RNA (336 nucleotides) under Clostridioides difficile. RNAcentral describes it as "partial 23S ribosomal RNA". It matches the Rfam family "Bacterial large subunit ribosomal RNA", at positions 251 to 591 of the family's 2925-position model. The record is from RNAcentral. Lineage: Bacteria; Bacillati; Bacillota; Clostridia; Peptostreptococcales; Peptostreptococcaceae.
GAGCGAACGCGGAUUAGCCCAAACCAAUAAAGUUUUCUUUAUUGGGGUUGCGGACAUAUCAUAACGAAGAGGUAUCGUAAUUGAAGAGGUUUGGAAAGACCCACCACAGAAGGUAAUAGUCCUGUAUGUUAAACGAGAAGACUUUAGAUAUGAUCCAGAGUACCACGGGACACGUGAAACCCUGUGGGAAGCAGGAGGGACCACCCUCCAAGGCUAAAUACUACCUAGUGACCGAUAGCGUAUAGUACCGUGAGGGAAAGGUGAAAAGAACCCCGGGAGGGGAGUGAAAUAGAACCUGAAACCCUGCACUUACAAGCUGUGGAAGCACAUUUCUUG